Non-coding RNA from Phascolarctos cinereus (koala), 548 nucleotides. The record is from RefSeq and is a predicted model, not a curated record. NCBI's taxonomy places the organism in Eukaryota, Metazoa, Chordata, Mammalia, Diprotodontia, Phascolarctidae.
CAGGCCCUUAGCUGAGAAUUGUACCCUCUGAUCUAAGACAUUCACUCAUAGAAGGAACUGGCAGCCGGGGGAGAAGUAGUGAUCAAGGCAAGAUCUGAUGAGAGCCAUCAGUGGACAGAAUCAGAGGAAUCAAUGGCAUUGUCUGAUCUUCAUCCCACCUCCCACCUAGCAAACUUUCGGUUUCUGAUGGUCUGCCAUGGCAGGAUGAUGGCAAUUGGAACUGAGUGGAUGACCUGGGACUAUUGGAAACUGGUGUGGCCAUUACAUUUGAAUUUCUGGGCUGUUUGGGCAUUAUGUUUCCUUUUACUGUUUUCUUUGACUAACAGAGGUUACCUCAAAGACAUCUAAUUCCCAGGUAAAUUGUGGCCUACUUGUUACCAGCCCCAUCUCACUUUAUGUUUGGUUAAGAAAGGAAGAGGCAGGAGACAGAGUUUUAUUCCUUCAGGUUGCUAGCCCAAAGUGGCCAGUACUCACACCACUUAUUUCCUGACUAUGCCUUUUUGUAUUUGUACAUAUGCCCAAGUUUCUAAUAAAUGUGAAAUAUUUCA